UGGGGAAUUUUGGACAAUGGGGGCAACCCUGAUCCAGCCAUGCCGCGUGUGUGAAGAAGGCCUUCGGGUUGUAAAGCACUUUCGGACGGAACGAAAUCGCGCGAUCUAAUAAGUCGCGUGGAUGACGGUACCGUAAGAAGAAGCACCGGCUAACUACGUGCCAGCAGCCGCGGUAAUACGUAGGGUGCGAGCGUUAAUCGGAAUUACUGGGCGUAAAGUGUGCGCAGGUGGCUGAGCAAGUCGAGUGUGAAAUCCCCGGGCUUAACUUGGGAAUUGCGCUCGAAACUACUUGGCUCGAGUGUGGCAGAGGAAGGUGGAAUUCCAGGUGUAGCGGUGAAAUGCGUAGAGAUCUGGAGGAACACCGAUGGCGAAGGCAGCCUUCUGGGCCAACACUGACGCUCAUGCACGAAAGCGUGGGGAGCAAACAGGAUUAGAUACCCUGGUAGUCCACGCCCUAAACGAUGAUGACUAGUUGUU
Molecule: ribosomal RNA, 477 nt
Filed under: uncultured Pseudomonadota bacterium
Lineage: Bacteria; Pseudomonadati; Pseudomonadota
Description: bacterial SSU rRNA
Rfam family: Bacterial small subunit ribosomal RNA
Source: RNAcentral